Molecule: ribosomal RNA, 497 nt
Filed under: uncultured bacterium
Lineage: Bacteria
Description: partial 16S ribosomal RNA
Rfam family: Bacterial small subunit ribosomal RNA
Source: RNAcentral
GAUGAACGCUGGCGGCGUGCCUAAUACAUGCAAGUCGAGCGAACGGACGAGAAGCUUGCUUCUCUGAUGUUAGCGGCGGACGGGUGAGUAACACGUGGAUAACCUACCUAUAAGACUGGGAUAACUUCGGGAAACCGUAGCUAAUACCGGAUAAUAUUUUGAACCGCAUGGUUCAAAAGUGAAAGACGGUCUUGCUGUCACUUAUAGAUGGAUCCGCGCUGCAUUAGCUAGUUGGUAAGGUAACGGCUUACCAAGGCAACGAUGCGUAGCCGACCUGAGAGGGUGAUCGGCCACACUGGAACUGGGACACGGUCCAGACUCCUACGGGAGGCAGCAGUAGGGAAUCUUCCGCAAUGGGCGAAAGCCUGACGGAGCAACGCCGCGUGAGUGAUGAAGGUCUUCGGAUCGUAAAACUCUGUUAUUAGGGAAGAACAUAUGUGUAAGUAACUGUGCACAUCUUGACGGUACCUAAUCAGAAAGCCACGGCUAACUACGUG